Molecule: ribosomal RNA, 253 nt
Filed under: uncultured bacterium
Lineage: Bacteria
Description: partial 16S ribosomal RNA
Rfam family: Bacterial small subunit ribosomal RNA
Source: RNAcentral
UACGUAGGGUGCGAGCGUUGUCCGGAAUUAUUGGGCGUAAAGGGCGCGUAGGCGGUCGUGUGCGUCGGAGGUGAAAUCCCCGGGCUUAACCCGGGAGCUGCCUCCGAUACGGCACGGCUUGAGUCCGGGAGAGGGGAGCAGAAUUCCCAGUGUAGCGGUGAAAUGCGUAGAUAUUGGGAGGAAUACCAGUGGCGAAGGCGGCUCCCUGGACCGGUACUGACGCUGAGGCGCGAAAGCUAGGGGAGCAAACGGG